AAUAUACCAAAUGUAAACAUUUUUAUUUAAAAUGUAACCGUCUUCUGAUUAUAAUCCCCUCAACUCAUGACUGCAGAGACUUCCAGUCUGAAGCACGGCAGGCUCCAGUCCAGACAGAGAUGCUGUUGGUCUGCAGGCUCUCUAUAGUGCCUCUGUAGGAUGUGGUGAGAACGGGGGGAGGGAGCUGGUUGUUGGUUCUGCACCAGUAACUCCUCUUCCUCCUAUCCAGGAGAUCGCAAAAAGCCGCUGCCUGACCAGGGCUCAGAAAAUCUGCGGAGACUCCUCCCACCCCCACCAAAGACUGUUUUCACUGCUGGACUCUAGAAAGAGGUUCCGCAGCCUCCGUAGCAGAACCUCCAGAGAAUCAACAGCGAGGCAUCAACACGGCGCAACCAAACUUGAUAGUUGACUGUCACGCCGGGGUCGCAUUUUACUGCGUGGGGUCGUUUUCCCAAGUUGCAGACGGAACUCCGGAGGCAAGGUGCAGGAUGAUGGUGAGAUGUUUUCCCAACGUGUGAGAGGACAAAGUAGAGAAGAGAGGACUAGAACGGGGGCGCCUCCUUUCUCUAAAGAGCCAGACGUUCCCCAGGUACCUCAGCGCUAUUCGUCAACAGCUUUUCAUGGGCUGUGAGAAAUCAAUGCGCUCUGCGCGGCAAACAGUUUAUAAUAAC
Molecule: long non-coding RNA, 671 nt
Organism: Nerophis lumbriciformis (worm pipefish)
Lineage: Eukaryota; Metazoa; Chordata; Actinopteri; Syngnathiformes; Syngnathidae
Source: RefSeq, a predicted model, not a curated record